CUUGGCCGGACGUCAUACACAGCGUGGCGCACAUAAAACCGGCCCCAACCGGAAUUCGAACGCGCGAACAGGUCUCAUCUUGCUUAGUCAACACCAUGACAACGCCUGCACAUGCUCAUUGACGCAGGCUUCAGUCAUGUAUAAAAAGCUUCCUCACAAAAUGCUGCUUAGCGCCGUUUGAAUUUCAUUAAUGCAGAUAAAGC
Molecule: long non-coding RNA, 203 nt
Organism: Schistocerca gregaria
Lineage: Eukaryota; Metazoa; Arthropoda; Insecta; Orthoptera; Acrididae
Exons: 3
Source: RefSeq, a predicted model, not a curated record